GACGAACGCUGGCGGCGUACUUAACACAUGCAAGUCGAACGGAAAGGCCCUGCUUUUGUAGGGUGCUCGAGUGGCGAACGGGUGAGUAACACGUGAGUAACCUGCCCUUGACUUUGGGAUAACUUCAGGAAACUGGGGCUAAUACCGGAUAGGAGCUCCUGCUGCAUGGUGGGGGUUGGAAAGUUUCGGCGGUUGGGGUUGGACUCGCGGCUUAUCAGCUUGUUGGUGGGGUAGUGGCUUACCAAGGCCUUGACGGGUAGCCGGCCUGAGAGGGUGACCGGCCACAUUGGGCCUGAGAUACGGCCCAGACUCCUACGGGAGGCAGCAGUGGGGAAUAUUGCACAAUGGGCGGAAGCCUGAUGCAGCAACGCCGCGUGCGGGAUGACGGCCUUCGGGUUGUAAACCGCUUUCGCCUGUGACGAAGCGUGAGUGACGGUAAUGGGUAAAGAAGCACCGGCUAACUACGUG
This 468-nucleotide ribosomal RNA is filed under the name uncultured bacterium. Its description in RNAcentral is "partial 16S ribosomal RNA". It matches the Rfam family "Bacterial small subunit ribosomal RNA", at positions 28 to 507 of the family's 1533-position model. The record is from RNAcentral.